UUGCCCCUAGCACCGGAUUCAAAAUAGAAAAUACUCUGAGCAUCCAUGAAUAGUAGUAAGCAACAUCAAGCAAUUCAAAGCUCCCAGAAGAUUCUGCUCCGCAUAAGGGUAAACUUUCAGCUUUCUGAAUGAGACCAUCUUUCUCCAACACUAAAAGUUCCAUCAAAUGUCUCUGCAGCCAAACAGGCUUAAAGAGGCUCAUGUACGACAUCUUUAAGGAUCCAAAAGUUGUCUCGACUUCAACAGAAUUUCCGUCACCUUGAACUUCUUGGUUCUCCUUUCUCACCCAUCCAGCACUUUCAAUCUGGUAUAAUAAUUUCUCCG
RNAcentral lists this unclassified non-coding RNA (324 nucleotides) under Hevea brasiliensis (rubber tree). Lineage: Eukaryota; Viridiplantae; Streptophyta; Magnoliopsida; Malpighiales; Euphorbiaceae. The record is from RNAcentral.